CUCGUGUUUAUAUCAGUCGCUGCUGGCGCUGUCGGUGGGGUUGUGUUUAUGUUCGUGGCUGGCUCACAAUGUCGCUACCACCAAAGAGAUGUGGAAGGCCCCCGGUGCUGUCUUUUCUGGAAAAGAAAAAGAGAAAGCAAAGUCUUGAUAGAAGAAGGGGGAAAACAAGGAUUUAUGUGGGAAAUCACAUUGACCGAUGGUUGGCACUUAAGGAAAAGUUAGAUUUCAGAAACGAUGCAGAAGUUGCAGGGUUUUUGCUGGACUUGUAUGACAGCUGUGACCCAUUGUUGAAAGCUCCAAUCUGUUCCCUCUCUCGGGGUAUGAGAAGAAUUACUGUGAAAGAAGAAAAAGCAUUGCCAGGCAGAGCUUCUUUGGUAGCAGCUGAUAGAAUGUAUGACAAUGACGAUCAGUUGUCUGAAGAAUCUGCUUGUUCUGGCCUUGGAGAUGUGAGAAUUGUAACUGUGAAAGAAGAGGGGGAGAUGCUGCUUGACUGCUCAUCCACAGAGAAGGAUGACAUUGCCGUGCUCAAGAGGCAACCACACCGUCAGUCGACUGCUGAUUUCUUUUACUGCAGUGUCAUCAGUAACUGAGACAUUCACAUUUGAGAUCAGAGGAGCCUCAAAUAGGGGUCCACUGAGAACAUGGGACAUGACGCUGGCAUUGCAUGGUGUGUUCAAAUCUCUCACUAACAUGGUGAAUAGGUGAAGAAGUUGGGGUUCUGAAAGCACUUCUGUGGCACAGAAGAAUGUAUGAAGCUAGGUCAGGAGAAAAUAAAGUGUUGGGGAAGCUGGCAAGCUCAAGUACAUUCUUCAAAAUGCCAUUUUUCUCUGGCAAUAUAAUGUUAGUUUGGAGUACAGCAAUAAUUGAAUUCCUGGGACUGAUUUGAUACAGGUGAGACAGGGUUUGUUCUUAAUUGAUUGCUUAUUUCAGCCGUCUGAGACAUGAGAAAUACUGUGAAAAGUUGUUUGGUAUAAGAAAAACUUCUGUUUAACCUAAAAGGUAAGAUAUAUGAGGCUUUGUUACAUAUCUAUGUGAAGAUGUUGAAUUACACUGAGUAUGUAAAAUGCUGGACAAAUGAUCGGGCAAGUAUGCAGUCAUAAUUGUAUAAUGCUAAGAAACGACAGCUGCCUAAGAAGAGAUUAGAAAAUAAGAAGGAAGUUUUAUGGGACAGACAUCCUAGGUCACACUGUGUUAUUCUAGGGAAUAUUUACCUACCAGGAGUUGUUGAGUGACCUCUAUAAGGGUAUUGUUUUGUUUCAUUGUCUAAACACUACAUUACUGGUUAUGUGUCUGGAUUCGGUUUUCAUUGACAGUAUAGCAUUGAGGUAGCUUGAUGUUAUUGAGGGUUUCUUACAGUCUGUGGGAUAUCCAUAUUGGUGAUUUGCCCAAAGUCAUGUUGGUAGGUGAACUUGGGCCUUUAGAGUAAGACUAAAUUCUAUUGCUGACUUGGUGAUUUUUAGAUGGGCAGCCAAAAUUUUCACUUGUAGAAAACAGUGACUUUCCUUUGGAAAGGAACAGUGGUUAUGUUAAUGUAUACCUUUUUUUUCUUCUUGUUUUUAAAGGUGUGGUACUGGACUUCCUGUUGAAGGGUGGAGGUGAAGGCAGGUAUUUCCUGCUUUCCAGGAAUUUGGGUGUCAUGUUUUCCUGUUGCUGUUAUUGUUUUCGGCCUUACGGGGUAUACUUCUUGUUCUAUGCUGCUAGUUUUAGGUUGGCUGAACACUAAUUGUAAGGAUCUGGAAAUAUCAGAGAUAAUGGAGCAAGAACACAAAACUUGCCUGCUUCUUUGGUGGCUUUGAUGUUUGGUUUCUGUCUUGGCUUUGUACUCUUGCCUUAUGAUGCUAGCUUUCAGAGAUUGCUGUUGUAGAGAAUUAACUUAAUGGAGAAACACUGAGGGAGUCAAGCAUCAGGAUGUCAAGGUUCUUGCCAGAUGAAAUGGCAUGGGUUUUCUGGGUUCUGGCUGUUAUGAAGAGUUGAAAUAACACAGGAAGAGGAGAAUGUUCAGAAAUCCGAUUUAAAGUAUUAUUGGCAGGGUAUAGCCAAAGGAACGUGUUACUGAGCCAUGUCCAGUUAGGUUCUUGAGUACAUCCAGUUCUCUAAUGCUUCUUCUGUUGUGAAUAUCCAACUUUAACAUUUAGCAUAUUAACCAAUCUGGAUGCAAAUGAUUUUUCUGGUUUGCAUGUAACAAAACAAAAAUGUCAAAGCAGAUAAUAAAUGAUUCAUUGGUUUUUCUUUAAUGUUUAUUAUUUACUCUGACAUUAAAAUUGGAGAAUGAUGAACCAAAAUACUUGAAUAGGAUUUUUUGAGGGAACUUUGAGGAAUUUGAGAUUCUUCUGCAAUAUUUGAGUGAUAGCGAUCAAAACUUUCCUUUGCCUGUUCUUUUAUUGAUGAAACAGAUUCUUAUGGUAGAACUGACUGUCCUAGGACUUGAUUCUGGGAAGUAUCUAAGAACAGAAAAGGAAUACAAAUACAAAAUAAAUACUUGAAAGUGUCACAGCAGUUUGGCGAGGAAAACUGAAACCUGUAGGGUGAGUUGGUGUCAGUCAGUAGUAACUGAUAAACUGGGAAGACCUGACUUUGAAGGCAGGCUUCAGCUUCAGUUCCUGUCUCAUCUAAAAUGGUAGUGGCAAUUCCUUUCAUAACGAUCUUUUGCUGAAUGGCUUUCCUCAGAAUCCUGGGAUCUGGCAUGAGUCUGCAUUGCAGAAUGUAUCUGAAGUAACCUGUUGUCUGAAAAGUUGCAUGGUUACUGUUCAGACAAAGCAUUUGUGAAGUGUUCAUUCCUUACCUCAGAAAGAAACUAAACAAUCAUGAGGAAGAGUCUAGCAAUCUGUUAAUGCUGGAGACUUAGCAUGACACUAGUGUGAGCAGCUGAGGACUUUCUUAGCAAGCAGGAAAGAAAAACUUACAUUACAUUUCAAAGAAAGAGAGGGAAAAAAACCCCAAACCAAACCCACGUGAUUAACCUGCUUAGUAGGACAGUUUCCUGUGUUCUACCAACAAAUUCAUUUUUGAUGCUUUGAGUAGUCUGCAUUCAGAAUCUCCAAGUUGGCCAAAGCAUAAAAUAGCUAUUAUUAAACAAACUAAAAGGUUCUGCAUGUACUGCUUUUGGUCUUUAGUGUUCAUAGGUAGUUUUUAAUUAAAAAAAAACAAACCCAAACCAACAACCAGCCAAACACCCCACCCCCCAGGCCACAGCCUGUGAUUAUUUCACUAAUGUAACUUGAAGCAAAUGUGUAAUCUGGCUCUUCCUUACAGAAAAUUAAGGUUGAGUGGUUAGGGUGACAGGUAAUUUACUGUAAUGCUAAAUGUUGAUCUGUGUUUCACUAUAGUAAACUCUGUGUAUAUAUGUCAUAAAAACAUGUUGGUCUGAUUAUAGGUAUUGCAGAUGCAAAAACACUAAUGGAAUGAUUGUAAUAUUUUCCGUUAUUUUAAAGCUAGAAUAUUCUAUGAGGGGAGUGCACUUGCCUAGACAGACACUGUGAAACAAUGCAAACAUAUUUCCUAUUUAGACAUUUGAAUGGCAUCUUGUAACUGUUGUCAUUAUGUUACUUUCCAGGGUGAGCAGCAAGAAGAAAAUCAAGCUCUUGUAUAAGACUACUGGGGCAGUUUUGGUCCAUUUUGAUUUUGCUGUGAGGGUAUUGUGAACUGUAAAGGAUUACUGUAAGUUGUAGUAUGAAAUCCCAUGUUACUUGUUGAACAGCACAUUAAACUUAAUUACCUGAAGUUUUACUGUAUUAUGCUAGCAUUAAUAAAGGGUGUGGAGUGGAUUAUUUCACUGCGAGAUUCUGUACGUAGAUCUCUGAAGGGCAGCAAGAAACAACAAGCCAAAAUGCUGGUAGGUAUUGCUCAAGCUUAUUCAGAAUUUAUUAACUUCUGUAGGUUUUGUUAAUGAAAAAGUUCCAUUUUAUUUAAAACUCAUAGGGUUAAAACACAAGCAACAUCCUGGUAGCAGUUGCAGCAUCAAGCAUGCUUCCAUCUCAAAUGUCUUUCUUGGAAUGCUCAUUUUAGGGAGCAAAUUUAACGUAUCCCACAUCCUGGAAGGUAUUCUUGCAGUUUAUUGGUGCACUUAAAAUGAUGGGUAAAAAUAUAUAGUGUGUUGUGUUAGUGCCUUCUGAAAAAUGAGUACUCAAUAUCAGCUACUACUUAGUUAUCUAAAUAUAUUUCAUUAUUGACUAAUCUGAUCUCUUGAUUUGCCUUUUGAUAUAUGAUGCUUCUUAAUUAUUUCCUUCUCUUAACAAAGAUGAAAUGAGUGUGGAGAACUUUUAGUAACUCAAGUUCAACAGAAUACAGUUGGCAGUUCUGAAUUUUUGUAGUUACCAAGUAUGGUUAAUCCUGGCAAGUUUUUAACUGAGCAAUUGUGAAAUGAGCAUGACUGUAUUCAAUAUAUGUUUGUCAGAAAGUCAGAAACUCUCAAGCUUCUGGUUUUUGUUGUCUUUAACCACACACAUUCAUAAGCAUGUAGGUCUUGAUCUUACGGUAUUCAAACCAGCUGGGUUUUCCCAUAAACUUACAUUAGAACAGCUUCCCUCUGUGGAGAAAUUCCCCUGAUUAGGUCAUUACACUCAACAUUCAGUUUCUUCAACGAGCUGCUUCACCUGCUAUAAUAAACUGCUGCUUUGAACUAUUGUUGCUUUUGAAGUAUCAAAAUUUACUGUGUUGCCAUACUAACAAUCUGUCUUUUGCCAAAUGUUGUACAGAUAGCUCUU
Melopsittacus undulatus (budgerigar) is the source of this 4703-nucleotide long non-coding RNA. RefSeq lists it as uncharacterized. The transcript is spliced from 7 exons. Lineage: Eukaryota; Metazoa; Chordata; Aves; Psittaciformes; Psittaculidae. The record is from RefSeq and is a predicted model, not a curated record.